ACGGAAAGAUUGAAGAAGACAAAGUACAUUUAAAGGAAACCAAGCCCUCAGCUCUCACAUGGGCCUGACAUGGAGGAGAUAGAUCAAUGAAGUGGGAGAAAAGCAGCAAUGGUGAGGUGGGAGACGACACCAGCACUUGAUAUUCUAUCUCCAGAAAAGUGGAUAUUCAAGAUUUGUACCUUAGGCACCAUCUGCUCAUCCUGAUUUCUUUUAAUCACCAAUGCCAAUGUAGAAAGAGAGAUGUAACUCUACACCUCUUUGCUUGAGCUUAGGGUCAUUUUCACAACUCCAGAGUUCUGAGAAAACUCUACCUAAUGGGGAAAAAGUGUUUAUGUUUUUACUCAGUUGUUUCGUUACAUAAGUUGAUUAUGUUUGAAAAUAAAGUGUAUUGUUUGCUAGUUAAGAGUGAUAAUUCUUAUUCACUUGCAUUUCAGGAGCCUCCGAAUGAGGAAAUCAUAACUCAGGCAUUAAAAACUACUUUCUAUAUUUGAAUUACUUUUUAUCAUUUGUCUGAGACUUGACCAUAAAGAUGCUAUAUACAUCUAAUAAAGCACAGAAUUGCGCCCUCACACAAAGUGGGUUAUUUCAGUGAUUUGAGGCAGAGAAAUCUGUUUCUGAACCCAAGUCACAGGUGGUGGGACUCCUUCAUUGUUUGUACCUUGUAAGUAGAAAGCAAAGGGAAAAGUCAACCAAGCAAUCUCAGUUGCCAAGGAGACACAGUAUUUUCUAUUGAAUGAAGAAAAAAUAUGUGAACUCCCUACUUUUGUUGACUCACUACAAGUCGAUACCAAUGAUC
Molecule: long non-coding RNA, 796 nt
Filed under: Homo sapiens (human)
Lineage: Eukaryota; Metazoa; Chordata; Mammalia; Primates; Hominidae
Description: HSALNT0078641
Source: RNAcentral